RNAcentral lists this long non-coding RNA (548 nucleotides) under Eucalyptus grandis. RNAcentral describes it as "long non-coding RNA (EGRA_LNC001476)". Lineage: Eukaryota; Viridiplantae; Streptophyta; Magnoliopsida; Myrtales; Myrtaceae. The record is from RNAcentral.
UUCAAAAAGGAGGAAUAUCAAUUUUUCUGGAUCAAGUUGACCGUGUCCCCACACAUGAGUAAUUUCAUGUGAAUUUCUAAUAUGAAGAAAAAGGCCAGGCUCACCAUUUUAAUUGAAGUAUUUGAGUGCAAUGCACGGUGUCCUGGGCCAUAUUUGAGUGAUCGUGUGAUGGUUAUGAGAAAUCGUCUCGGGCUAUUGAGUUGGACGUUAUCCUUAUUUGGGAUACCCCCUGGACAACGGGAAGCCGGUCGCAGUUGAUUCUGGACCCUAUGCUCAUUCGGGAAAGCCGUCUGAUAAAGAGACGUGCCGUGCUCAAUGGGGUGAGACGAUGCCUGGCAAUGCCAGAAGACCGCCGAACUGAGAGUAGGCCGUGCUAUAUGCCGAGAUCAAAACUAAGAACGCAUGAUUAAUUGAGUGUGGCGUUUCAGUUAUUGGAGCUUAUUUGUUGCUCAUGCUCUCAUGUUGUCUUUGAGAUAAAUUGUACUGACCUGCAGGGUGGGUCUGAGACGAGGUAAGUCUCCUUGAUUGUGUGAUUGCGUGCUUAGGAC